AACGAACGCUGGCGGCAUGCCUAACACAUGCAAGUCGAACGAGACCUUCGGGUCUAGUGGCGCACGGGUGCGUAACGCGUGGGAACCUGCCCUUAGGUGCGGAAUAACUCCCCGAAAGGGGUGCUAAUACCGGAUAAUGUCUUCGGACCAAAGAUUUAUCGCCUUUGGAUGGGCCCGCGUUGGAUUAGCUAGUUGGUAGGGUAAAAGGCUACCAAGGCGACGAUCCAUAGCUGGUCUGAGAGGAUGAUCAGCCACACUGGGACUGAGACACGGCCCAGACUCCUGCGGGAGGCAGCAGUGGGGAAUAUUGGACAAUGGGCGAAGGCCUGAUCCAGCAAUGCCGAGUGAGUAAUGAAGGCUUUAGGGUUGUAAAGCUCUUUUACCCGGGAUGAUAAUGACAGUACCGGGAGAAUAAGCGCCGGCUAACUCCGU
RNAcentral lists this ribosomal RNA (432 nucleotides) under uncultured bacterium. RNAcentral's name for it is "partial 16S ribosomal RNA". It matches the Rfam family "Bacterial small subunit ribosomal RNA", at positions 29 to 506 of the family's 1533-position model. The record is from RNAcentral.